GAUGAACGCUGGCGGCGUGCCUAAUACAUGCAAGUCGAGCGAACGGACGAGAAGCUUGCUUCUCUGAUGUUAGCGGCGGAGGGGUGAGUAACACGUGGAUAACCUACCUAUAAGACUGGGAUAACUUCGGGAAACCGUAGCUAAUACCGGAUAAUAUUUUGAACCGCAUGGUUCAAAAGUGAAAGACGGUCUUGCUGUCACUUAUAGAUGGAUCCGCGCUGCAUUAGCUAGUUGGUAAGGUAACGGCUUACCAAGGCAACGAUGCAUAGCCGACCUGAGAGGGUGAUCGGCCACACUGGAACUGAGACACGGUCCAGACUCCUACGGGAGGCAGCAGUAGGGAAUCUUCCGCAAUGGGCGAAAGCCUGACGGAGCAACGCCGCGUGAGUGAUGAAGGUCUUCGGAUCGUAAAACUCUGUUAUUAGGGAAGAACAUAUGUGUAAGUAACUGUGCACAUCUUGACGGUACCUAAUCAGAAAGCCACGGCUAACUACGUG
This 497-nucleotide ribosomal RNA is filed under the name uncultured bacterium. Its description in RNAcentral is "partial 16S ribosomal RNA". It matches the Rfam family "Bacterial small subunit ribosomal RNA", at positions 28 to 507 of the family's 1533-position model. The record is from RNAcentral.